RNAcentral lists this ribosomal RNA (497 nucleotides) under uncultured bacterium. RNAcentral describes it as "partial 16S ribosomal RNA". It matches the Rfam family "Bacterial small subunit ribosomal RNA", at positions 28 to 507 of the family's 1533-position model. The record is from RNAcentral.
GACGAACGCUGGCGGCGUGCCUAAUACAUGCAAGUAGAACGCUGAAGCUUGGUGCUUGCACCGAGCGGAUGAGUUGCGAACGGGUGAGUAACGCGUAGGUAACCUGCCUGGUAGCGGGGGAUAACUAUUGGAAACGAUAGCUAAUACCGCAUAAGAGUAGAUGUUGCAUGACAUUUGCUUAAAAGGUGCAAUUGCAUCACUACCAGAUGGACCUGCGUUGUAUUAGCUAGUUGGUGAGGUAACGGCUCACCAAGGCAACGAUACAUAGCCGACCUGAGAGGGUGAUCGGCCACACUGGGAAUGAGACACGGCCCAGACUCCUACGGGAGGCAGCAGUAGGGAAUCUUCGGCAAUGGACGGAAGGCUGACCGAGCAACGCCGCGUGAGUGAAGAAGGUUUUCGGAUCGUAAAGCCCUGUUGUAAGAGAAGAACGAGUGUGAGACUGGAAAGUUCACACUGUGACGGUAUCUUACCAGAAAGGGACGGCUAACUACGUG